This 365-nucleotide ribosomal RNA is filed under the name Pseudoides sp. BMNH 846584. RNAcentral describes it as "partial 16S ribosomal RNA". The record is from RNAcentral. Lineage: Eukaryota; Metazoa; Arthropoda; Insecta; Coleoptera; Chrysomelidae.
UUGAAUGGCCGCGGUAUUUUGACCGUGCUAAGGUAGCAUAAUCAUUAGUUUUUUAAUUGAAAGCUGGAAUAAAGGGUUGGAUGAAAAAUUAGCUGUCUCUUUGUAAAUGCAAAAAUUUUAUUUUUAAGUUAAAAAGCUUAAAUUUAAUUAAAAGACGAGAAGACCCUAUAGAGUUUAAUAAAUUUUAAUUAGUCUUAUUUUUAGAAUUUAAAUUAUUAUUAAUAGAAUUUAUUUAAUUGGGGUGAUUAAAAAAUUUAAUGAACUUUUUUUUUAUUUUAAUAUAGAUAUAUAGAUUUUUGAUCCAAAAUUUUUGAUUAUAAGAUUUAAUUACCUUAGGGAUAACAGCGUAAUUUUAUUGGAGAGUU